GGAGAGGUGGCUCAGUGGUUAAGAGCACUGACUGCUCUUCCAGAGGUCCUGAGUUCAAAUCCCAGCAACCUCA
This 73-nucleotide transfer RNA is filed under the name Rattus norvegicus (Norway rat). It matches the Rfam family "tRNA". From Rfam's summary of the family: Transfer RNA (tRNA) molecules are approximately 80 nucleotides in length. Their secondary structure includes four short double-helical elements and three loops (D, anti-codon, and T loops). The record is from Rfam by way of RNAcentral. Lineage: Eukaryota; Metazoa; Chordata; Mammalia; Rodentia; Muridae.